AGCAGCAGCAACAACAACAACAACAACAACAUUAAAGCCUUAAUCCACCCAACCACCCAAUAUUUGAUAAUAUACAUGUCCUACUAUGUUACAGAUGCAUCAGUUCAUUGAAAUUGUGGUGUAAUAUCCUUACAGUCAAUUGCAUGGUGAAAUUUUCUAAAUGUGCCUUGUGGAUUUACUAUUUGUGAAUUCAGUUAUUGGUUUAAUCUGCAUUCAAUCUCUCUUUUCCACUAGAUAAUUGUUGAAGAGUUAGUUGCCGCAUGCGCCUAUUAAAUGCCCUUGCAAUGGAAAGUUAGGAAACAAUAAAGAAUUAUGUCAAAUCUUAUUUAAGUUGGUUCUUACUCUUCCUCUGCUUGUUUUUCUUAUCUAAUAGUAAAUAUAAAAGGCACUUCAAAUUGCUCAUUUCUAUCAUUACAUGCCUUCAUGCUGCCUGUGGUUGAUCAUCUAUUGUUUAGAGACAUGUUAUGGAUCUUAUUAUAAUUGAUGCAGCAUU
This 493-nucleotide unclassified non-coding RNA is filed under the name Hevea brasiliensis (rubber tree). The record is from RNAcentral. Lineage: Eukaryota; Viridiplantae; Streptophyta; Magnoliopsida; Malpighiales; Euphorbiaceae.